Molecule: small RNA, 146 nt
Filed under: Rahnella inusitata
Lineage: Bacteria; Pseudomonadati; Pseudomonadota; Gammaproteobacteria; Enterobacterales; Yersiniaceae
Source: RNAcentral
AACAAAAAAAAGACCGAAUACGAUUCCUAUAUUCGGUCUAGGGAAAUGGCUCUUGGGAGAGAGCCGUGCGCUAAAAGUUGGCAUUAAUGCAGGCUGUUAAGCCGUACAAUGUAAAGGAUAGCCGACAGCUGACUAUUUUCCACUCA